GGACGAACGCUGGCGGCGUGCUUAACACAUGCAAGUCGGACGGUUGGCACUGGAAGGUUCGCUGGAAGGUGCUGAUAGUGGCGGACGGGUGAGUAACGCGUGAGGACAUGUCUGCAGGAGGGGGAUAACGUUUGGAAACGGACGCUAAGACCCCGUAAGCCGGGAGGUGAAAGUGGCGAAAGCCAGCCUGUGGAGUGACUCGCGUCCUAUCAGCUAGUUGGCGGGGUGAAGGCCCACCAAGGCGAUGACGGGUAGCCGACCUGAGAGGGUGGCCGGCCACACUGGAACUGAGAUACGGUCCAGACUCCUACGGGAGGCAGCAGUGGGGAAUAUUGGGCAAUGGGCGGAAGCCUGACCCAGCGACGCCGCGUGGGGGAAGAAGUCUUUCGGGAUGUAAACCCUUGUUGUACGGGACGAAGGAAGUGACGGUACCGUACGAGGAAGCCCCGGCAAACUACGUGCCAGCAGCCGCGGUAAUACGUAGGGGGCGAGCGUUGUCCGGAAUCACUGGGCGUAAAGCGCACGUAGGCGGGCUGUCAAGUCGGCCGUGAAAGGCAUGGGCUCAACCUGUGCAUGUCGGUCGAUACUGGCGGUCUGGAGUAUGGGAGAGGGAACUGGAAUUCCCGGUGUAGCGGUGAAAUGUGUAGAUAUCGGGAGGAACACCAGUGGCGAAGGCGGGUUCCUGGCCCAUGACUGACGCUGAGGUGCGAAAGCCGGGGGAGCGAACGGGAUUAGAUACCCCGGUAGUCCCGGCUGUAAACGAUGGAUGCUAGGUGUGGGGGGGUUACGUUUUGUGCCGCAGCUAACGCGAUAAGCAUCCCGCCUGGGGAGUACGAUCGCAAGAUUGAAACUCAAAGGAAUUGACGGGGGCCCGCACAAGCGGUGGAGCACGUGGUUUAAUUCGAUGCAAA
This 911-nucleotide ribosomal RNA is filed under the name uncultured bacterium. RNAcentral describes it as "bacterial SSU rRNA". It matches the Rfam family "Bacterial small subunit ribosomal RNA", at positions 27 to 960 of the family's 1533-position model. The record is from RNAcentral.